This 73-nucleotide transfer RNA is filed under the name Ailuropoda melanoleuca (giant panda). It matches the Rfam family "tRNA". Rfam says of the family: Transfer RNA (tRNA) molecules are approximately 80 nucleotides in length. Their secondary structure includes four short double-helical elements and three loops (D, anti-codon, and T loops). The record is from Rfam by way of RNAcentral. Lineage: Eukaryota; Metazoa; Chordata; Mammalia; Carnivora; Ursidae.
GCCUGGCUUGCUCUGUAGGUAGAGCAUGUGACCCUUGAUCUCAGGGUCGUGAGUUCAAGCCCCAUGUUGGGUA